AAUGAACGCUGGCGGCGUGCUUAACACAUGCAAGUCGCACGAGAACGCUUCAGCUUGCUGAGGCUAGUAAAGUGGCGCACGGGUGAGUAACGCGUGGGUAAUCUGCCUCUGAAUUGGGGAUAACACUGCGAAAGCGGUGCUAAUACCGAAUGACAUUCCUUGAAUUCCGGUUCUGGGAAUCAAAGGUGGCCUCUAUAUAAAAGCUACCGUUUGGAGAUGAGCCCGCGUACCAUUAGCUUGUUGGUGGGGUAACGGCCCACCAAGGCGACGAUGGUUAGCUGGUCUGAGAGGAUGAUCAGCCACACUGGAACUGACACACGGUCCAGACUCCUACGGGAGGCUG
This 343-nucleotide ribosomal RNA is filed under the name uncultured Pseudomonadota bacterium. RNAcentral describes it as "bacterial SSU rRNA". It matches the Rfam family "Bacterial small subunit ribosomal RNA", at positions 29 to 351 of the family's 1533-position model. Lineage: Bacteria; Pseudomonadati; Pseudomonadota. The record is from RNAcentral.